RNAcentral lists this unclassified non-coding RNA (626 nucleotides) under Malbranchea albolutea. RNAcentral's name for it is "sequence contains 18S rRNA gene, ITS1, 5.8S rRNA gene, ITS2, 28S rRNA gene". The stretch from base 256 to 409 matches the Rfam family "5.8S ribosomal RNA". The record is from RNAcentral. Lineage: Eukaryota; Fungi; Ascomycota; Eurotiomycetes; Onygenales; Malbrancheaceae.
UGGAAGUAAAAGUCGUAACAAGGUUUCCGUAGGUGAACCUGCGGAAGGAUCAUUACAGUGUUCCGUCGCGGCGCGCCGGGCCCCAAAGCCCGUGCGUGGUCGCGCGAAACCCCACCCUUGACUAUUGGACCUUCUGUUUCUUUGGCGGGCCCGCCGCAGGGCCGCCGGGAGCUUCGGCCCCUGGCCCGCGCCCGCCAGAGGCAAACUUGAACUCUUCUGUGAAUUGGCCGUCUGAGUAUGAUAUUGAAUCAUUAAAACUUUCAACAAUGGAUCUCUUGGUUCCGGCAUCGAUGAAGAACGCAGCGAAAUGCGAUAAGUAAUGUGAAUUGCAGAAUUCCGUGAAUCAUCGAAUCUUUGAACGCACAUUGCGCCCCCUGGUAUUCCGGGGGGCAUGCCUGUCCGAGCGUCAUUGCAACCUUCAAGCGCGGCUUGUGUGUUGGGUCUCGUCCCCCGUGGACGGGCCCGAAAGGCAGUGGCGGCGUCCCGACAUGGUGCCCGAGCGUAUGGGAAUCCUCUUCCGCUCGAAUCGGCCCAUGCGGCGCUGGUCGUAACCAAAUUUUUUACCGGUUGACCUCGGAUCAGGUAGGGAUACCCGCUGAACUUAAGCAUAUCAAUAAGCGGAGGAA